This 332-nucleotide ribosomal RNA is filed under the name uncultured bacterium. RNAcentral's name for it is "bacterial SSU rRNA". It matches the Rfam family "Bacterial small subunit ribosomal RNA", at positions 568 to 898 of the family's 1533-position model. The record is from RNAcentral.
CAUGCAGGCGGUCGGGCGCGUUUUGUGUGACAGCGGGUGGCUUAACUACCCGAGUAUGCGAAAGACGGUUUGACUUGAGGGCUCGAGAGGGACACGGAAUUCCGGGUGGAGUGGUGAAAUGCGUAGAGAUCCGGAGGAACACCGAAGGCGAAGGCAGUGUCCUGGCGAGUGACUGACGCUGAGGUGCGAAAGCUAGGGGAGCGAACGGGAUUAGAUACCCCGGUAGUCCUAGCCGUAAACGAUGACCACCAGGUGUGGGAGGUAUCGACCCCUUCCGUGCCGGAGUAAACACACUAAGUGGUCCGCCUGGGGAGUACGGUCGCAAGAUUAAA